This 81-nucleotide transfer RNA is filed under the name Rubritalea squalenifaciens DSM 18772. Its description in RNAcentral is "tRNA_Met_CAT". The stretch from base 16 to 70 matches the Rfam family "tRNA", at positions 9 to 63 of the family's 71-position model. Rfam says of the family: Transfer RNA (tRNA) molecules are approximately 80 nucleotides in length. Their secondary structure includes four short double-helical elements and three loops (D, anti-codon, and T loops). The record is from RNAcentral. Lineage: Bacteria; Pseudomonadati; Verrucomicrobiota; Verrucomicrobiia; Verrucomicrobiales; Rubritaleaceae.
UCUGUGAUCCCUUUAAGUUGUGUUUAUGAUGUCAGGCUCAUAACCUGAAGGUCGUAGGUUCAAAUCCUACUCCCGUAACCA